AAAAUUAUAGUUUAUUUAAAAUAUUUAAUUUGCAUUUAAAAGAAACAUAAGUUAAUUUUA
This 60-nucleotide transfer RNA is filed under the name Proasellus coxalis. RNAcentral describes it as "transfert RNA-A(GCA)". Lineage: Eukaryota; Metazoa; Arthropoda; Malacostraca; Isopoda; Asellidae. The record is from RNAcentral.